Paramuricea clavata is the source of this 2410-nucleotide non-coding RNA. NCBI's taxonomy places the organism in Eukaryota, Metazoa, Cnidaria, Anthozoa, Malacalcyonacea, Plexauridae. The record is from the annotation of a GenBank genome assembly.
GGGUAGUAGAUCCCCGAGAUGGGCAUCCUAAAUGUCCAAGGGGUAGUAGAUCCCCGUGAUGGUCAUUGCUUACUUUAAUGUCCAAGGGGUAGUAGAUCCCCGUGAUGGUCAUUGUUUACUUUAAUGUCCAAGGGGUAGUAGAUCCCCGUGAUGGUCAUUGUUUACUAUGCAAUACACUGUAUAAUACAUUGAUUUGUGUGAGUCUAUGGGGUUGAGGGUGACCUUUGGGAGCACUCCAUCCCCACAAAUACACAGCAUGUGUAUUCCCCAUAGACGAAAAAACCCAACUCCCACCACAACUGUAAUCGUAUAGAAGACAGCUUCUGACAGAUGAUCUUUGUGCUUUUCGAAGACAUAUCGUCUAUAUUUCUCUUUCGACACACUUUAAAUAAUUAAUUGAUUAAAAUCAUGUUAUAUGCAAAUAGAAUUUUUUUUUUUUUUUUUUGAAACUACAAGUUGAUCGUAAGACAUAUAUUUGAGCAUUACCAUCACUCAUACUACAGCUGGAACAUCAGGGAGGCCAGGAAAAACCUGCAAUAUCUUUACAGGAAACCUGGAUGGGGCCAAGACAACCAGCAGCUUCCCCACAAAACUUCUAUCUUACAAGUGCGUGAUUGGAGGGUUGGUAACACAACAAACAAAGCUCACCAUCAUUUUUUUUUUUUUUUUUUUUACGAUUUAUUUAUUUUUAAUGUCAAUGUGCUCGUUGAAUUUUGCAACAUGUAUUUGUUAACUCCACUUAUUUUAUUUGAAUUAUGAUUGGUGGAACUUGACAUAAUAUAAUUCUCGAAUUAUGUAUGUGACUCUUUAAUCUCAGAAAAAUAGCUUGUUCAAUAUUUUAAAAUAGCAGGAUCAAAAAUUCCAAAUGCAAUUCAGGUGUUUAUAACCAAGUGUUGUGAUUGAACAUGCAAUCAUGCAUGCAUGCAUGAGAGUAGCAGAAAUUGUAAGAAUAUGUAUUUGGUAGACUAAAGAUCAUGCAGUAUAGUGAUAAGACACUAAAAUUAAUUUUCAUGAGUAGCGACAUACCAUACACUGUACGUAUACAAAUCUUUCAUGACAUCCAACUUGCCGAUUUAUCGCAAAUGUAGAUAAAGUAGAUCCUAAAUUUCUCUCACACAUGAACUUGAUUUCCUAUGUUGUGCCCAGUAAAGUAUUGAUAAUGUAUACGGGCCAAAUAAUUAAGUGUUUGUUUUAUUAAAGAGUGCCUUGAAAUAGCUAGAAAGGAAGUUUUAUAUAAUCUACUUUUGAAUGAUUGAAUACAGUUUAAUGUGACGCUUUAUUGAAACCCAAUUCCCGAAUCAGAGGCCCAAUCUGGCCAGUUAAUAACCUCAAGAUGGUAAUAAAAUUGACAUUGAAAUACAGAUCGAUUUGCGUGAAUAGUCGAUACAUUUGGCGUUCGACAAUUACUAUACCCGAAUUCUGUGAUAAAAUAAAUGAAGUUAAAGCAUUUUGAUUGGUUUGAAAAGCGAAAUACGAAGCAAACGUGUGAAUUCACCGCAUACUUACGCACCAAAUGCAUGUGCAUACAUAAAUACAUUGAUAUACGAAUGAUAUCAAAUAUCGCUUGUUGAAUUCGUGUUUAGCCUCUCGAUCUUGUUAUAAUUCCCCCAGCGGCGGUUUCAUUUAACUUCAUCGGUUGAGCCAACGUAUUGCUUUGUCCACCAGGAGGGUAAAAGCGCUUGACCACGGUAGAGUUAUACUUGAAUAGACUGCGUCUCACUGAAUCACACAUCGAUACUUGAGCCAACGUAUUCCUUUAUCCACCAGAAGAGUAAAAGCGCCUGCCGAGUUAUAUUUGAAUAAACAUCGUCUUACUGAAUCAUACAUCAAUACAUCAGCCAACGUAUUCCUUUGUCCACCAGAAGAGUAAAAACGGUUGCCCGCGGCAGAGUUAUACUUUACUGAUAAACUGCGUCUCACUGAAUUUAAUAUACGUCAAUACUUGAGCCAACGUAUUCCUUUGUCCACCAGAAGAGUAAAAGUGCUUGCCCGCAGCAGAGCUAUAUUUGAAUAAACUGCGUCUCACUGAAUAAUACUGUGUUACUGACCGUUGUUUUAUAUCCACGAAAUAUCUUUUCCAAAAGUAUAAUUUCGAAGUACUUUGCCGCAGAGGUCAUACAAUUUUGCUUGCAAGUGACACAAUGAGGCUUACUGAUCCAAGCAGGAAACUAUGCAGACGAAGGGGUGAAACCUGAUUGGUCUAUUUUCCCGCACAUGCAUGGGAAGAGAUUUGACAAUGGUUUGUUGUUAAUUCAGCCUUGCGCUUUGCACGUGUAUGAUCACACGAUUCACAGAUUGACCUUUGUACCAGACCUUUGUACUCCAGGAGACUUUGCACAACUUUACUCUUGUCCUAACGCUUGUUUCAUUAACUUAAGUUUAUAAUGCUAUGGGCAUGUAUAAACUUGCU